UACGGAGGAGGCAAGCGUUAUCCGGAAUUAUUGGGCGUAAAGCGUCCGUAGGUGGUUGUUCAAGUCUUCUGUCAAAGCGCGGAGCUUAACUCCGUAAAGGCAGAGGAAACUGAGCGGCUAGAGUGCGAUAGGGGCAGAGGGAAUUCCCAGUGUAGCGGUGAAAUGCGUAGAUAUUGGGAAGAACACCGGUGGCGAAAGCGCUCUGCUGGGUCUGCACUGACACUGAGGGACGAAAGCUAGGGGAGCGAAAGGG
Molecule: ribosomal RNA, 253 nt
Filed under: uncultured bacterium
Lineage: Bacteria
Also listed under: 1 other name
Description: partial 16S ribosomal RNA
Rfam family: Bacterial small subunit ribosomal RNA
Source: RNAcentral